UUAAAGGGCUGCAGUAUAUUGACUGUACAAAGGUAGCAUAAUCAUUAGUCAUUUAAUUGAUGACUUGUAUGAAGGAUUGGAUGAAAUAUAAACUGUCUCUUAAUUAUAUUUAGAAUUUAAUUUUUUAGUUAAAAAGUUAAAAUAAAUUAGAAAGACGAGAAGACCCUAUAGAGUUUUAUAGAUAAAAUUAAUUGAGAUUAUUUGUAAAGGUUAAAAUUAAAAUUAAUUUAUUUAUUUUGUUGGGGUGACAGAAAAAUAUGAAAAACUUUUUAUAUGUUUAAAACAUUAAUAAGUGGUUAAAUGAUCCAGUAUUAUUGAUUAUAAGAAAAAAUUACCUUAGGGAUAACAGCGUAAUUUUUUUUUUUAGUUCACAUAAAAAAAAAAGUUUGCGACCUCGAUGUUGGAUUAAGAUAAAAUUUAAAUGCAGAAG
Molecule: ribosomal RNA, 430 nt
Filed under: Sesamia nonagrioides (Mediterranean corn borer)
Lineage: Eukaryota; Metazoa; Arthropoda; Insecta; Lepidoptera; Noctuidae
Description: partial 16S ribosomal RNA
Source: RNAcentral